UGACCACUGCGGAUGUUCCGACAUUUGCAGUCAAGGCCAUACGGACAGCCGUGGUCAAAUGCCGA
This 65-nucleotide small RNA is filed under the name uncultured Ruminococcus sp. RNAcentral describes it as "Streptococcus sRNA SpF59 (ldcC RNA)". It matches the Rfam family "Streptococcus sRNA SpF59 (ldcC RNA)". Lineage: Bacteria; Bacillati; Bacillota; Clostridia; Eubacteriales; Oscillospiraceae. The record is from RNAcentral.